AUUUUUAUUUUUUUAUUUUUAUGUAUGUAUCUAUGUUUGUGUAUAGAGUAUCUGCAAAUGAGAGUAGGUGUCUGAGGAGUUGAGAAGAGAGUGUUUGAGUACCCGGAGCUAGAGUGAUUGUGGGUUAGUUGCUAUGGUUGCUGGGAACAGACUGUGGCUUCUCUAGAAGAGUAGAACAUGGUCUUAACCACUAAGGCAUAUCCCCAGACCCUAGUAACCUCUAACUGUGUAGUAAUUUAGUUGCAGAGCUACUAAAAAGUUUAUGACUACAUAGUUUAUUUCUUUUGUGCCUUGUGUUCUUUUUGAUCCUGGAGUUUGUGUGGGUCCAUGAGUCCUGUUAUGCAUCUGUCUUGACCUCUUUCUUCAUAGGAUUGUUGUGUAAGAUCCAAUCUCAUAAGAAAAUAAUCGUGUCAGCUAUAAAAUGGCUCCUAAAUGUAUUAAAUAUUUAUUAGAAAAUUCUGUGUUAGAAGCUACUUUGUUUGCUUAUAGCAAUGGGUGGUUUUAUUACUGUUUUAUAUUGUAAACAAUUUCUAAAUUGUUUCUGCCUAAAACCUAAAGUAUUUUAAUCAUGCCUGAUGAUUUGUGUUGGUGUUUGGGUUUCUGACAAUUUAAGUAUUUGUUAACUAAAUUAUUUGAAAUAUAGACCAAGCUCAAACACUUUGCUCUUGAUAAAUUUUUGGAAAAUUCACACACACACACACACACACACUGCACUGCAUCAGGCUUGACGUUUAUCAUUUUUCAUGCUUUAUAUCUUGUCUGAUUCUAUUUGUGUUUAGGGCUCUUGGUGGUAUCGGUCAAUACGAUAUAGUGGAGACCAGAUUCUAAUACGUACAACACAGAUUUAUACAUACUUUGUUUAUAAAACUCGAAAUAUGGAUAUGAAACGUAAGUAAACUUAAGUAACUGCUGUUCGUUGCAUUGCUUUCCGAGUCAUUUAUAUGUUGCUAUAUAUUUUUUAAACUCUAUAGUAGAUUCAGUUUUAUAGUUUAUCAGAUUGAACCAGAAACCAGGAGGACCAUUGCUGACUGGCUCCCUCUCAAGCCUCACAUUCAGUGACUUAGGCCCCCUGCCUAGGAAUGGUACCUCUUCCACCAGCAGUUAAGAAAAUGCCCUCACAGUCAUGCCCACAGGCGAAGCUGAUGUAGAUAUUUCCUCAGUUAAGGUUCCCUCUUGUCAGGUGACUAGUUUAUGUGACUGAUGAGAGUGUAUAAAAUUACCAAGUUUCUGCAUAGCAAAGGCAACAAUUAAAUGAGUAAAAAAGUGGAGAAAGUGUUUGGUAACUAUAGAGCUGAGAGAGGAUCCAUGUCUAGAACACAUAAAGAGUUAGAGAGUCUUGUGUAAUUGUAUACACCUGUAAUCCUAGUACUCGAAGAGGCAGGGGUAUUAGGAUUGUCACAAGUUUGAUGCCAGCCUGGUCUACAUAGUGAGUUACAGCCUGGCCUAGGAGUCAGUGUCUCAAAAGGAAGAAGUCUAUCUAAUUCUAGUAAGACUUGCUGUUUUACAAAUGCUGGCAAGGAUGCAGUUGUUGGUGAGAAUGUACGUUAGUCCAACAGCUAUAGAAGUCAGCAUACGAUAAGCUAUACUACUUCUGGGAAUGUACCUAAAGGUCUCAGGUACCUCCACAUACAUGCUUACUGUGGUGUUGUUUACAAUGGCCAAGUUACAGAACAAGUGUAGGUGUCUGUCAACUGAUAAAUGGACAAGGAAGAUGUGGUGUAUAAGAAUGAACUUAGGACAGUUGCAAGAAAGUUGAUGAAACAGGAGAUAACUAUAUUGUGUAAAAUAAAUGAGAUUCAAAACAGUAUUGUAGGAAAUCAGCAUCUCAGAAACCCAAAGAGCAAGGUCUCAGCACAAAGACAGAGAACAGGGGAUAGAGACAAAGACAAGAGAUGGGGAUGAAGAUGAGGAGGUAGGGGAGGGGCUUUUGUUCCUGAGGGGCAGAGGACUGCCUUGGGAUAGAGAGGAGACUGAUGUGCUCCAUAGGCAGAUGGCAGUUUCUGAAGGUACAAGGGGAAACCCCGUGUAAGGAUGAGCUGUUGAGUUUUAGUUGGGCAUGUUAAUUAAUCAAAAGGGGGCUUUUGAUUGCUGGACUUUAAAUCUUUGAUAGCCGGACCUUUGUAAUCAGCCUCAGGAGGAAUAAGUGGCCAAAUAAGGGAAUAGGCCUUGGUGGUUAGCUUUAGGAAUGUAAUCUAAAUGUUUUUUAGAAAGGCAGAGGGACUUAGGGAGAAGGGCAAGGCCUACCAGAGCUAUGUUUACAAGCUGGCUAGUGUCCCUUCAAAUAUUACAUGAUUUCUUUCAAGUAUAUACUAGAUUUUUAUGUGUACACAUAAAAUCCUAAAUAUGCAUAUAUAAAUCUACCCAUACAUACACACACACACACACACACACACACACACACACACACACAAAUUCACAGACACAUACAUAUGGCAUGAAAGUUAAAGCAAGACUAUCUGGGAAAAGAAAGAAUACUAGCUGAAAAGGGAGGGACAGAUACGGUCCAAAUCUAGGAUAUAAUUGAGUACGAAUGUGAAAUCCUUCACUGUGUAUAGUAAAUAGACUGUAGAAAAGAAUGAAUAUCACUUUCUGUUAUGUUGGACUAGUAUAGGAACUAGUACUACUAUAGAAACUUAGUUCCUUACAAGAACAUUUCAUGGUCUUUGUUUUCCCCUGGGAUACUACUGACUUAAGAGAAUGGUAACUAGUCUCAUGUCAUUCUGUCACAAAGCACUUUUCAGCUGGUGGAUUUAUUUAUACAUCCUUCAUCUGUCUUUGGAACAGUUCUUUUCUUUUCUUCUUUUUUUUUGACCCACAUGAAAAUAUUUGAGCCCUGUGUAGUGGUAUACACCUUUAACCCCAGUACUUGGGAGACUGGGGCGGGCAGAUCUUGGUGAGUUUCAGGCCAGCCUGGACUACAUACCAAGUUCCAGGCCAAAGUUACGUGGUGAGACUAUCUCCCCCUCC
RNAcentral lists this long non-coding RNA (2967 nucleotides) under Mus musculus (house mouse). RNAcentral's name for it is "long non-coding RNA chr10:42797967-42800934". The record is from RNAcentral. Lineage: Eukaryota; Metazoa; Chordata; Mammalia; Rodentia; Muridae.